UUAUUUCCUUUUCCUUUUUCUGUCCUCUUUCUUUUUCUUCUUUUUCUUUCCCUUUCUCUUCUUCUUCCUUACACCACCGAGACGUCCCUCAGCUAUAGCUUCACUGCUCGCCGUUCGUCGUCGUUGGAAUCGGCUUCAGUUGAGCUGUCGAGCAGCGCCCAGCCUUUUCCCCCAUUCGACGUCAUGUCAUCCAACCGCCGAGUGGAUCGUCUGCCCUUGCGAGAUCUAGCCACCAACUGGGACGUCCGUUCGUGCUCUGCAGUGCAGCUGGUCGGCUGACCCUCGAAGACGCUGCCCAGAUCUUCUCCCGCCAACUGAAGCCGUCCUGUCGACGCCCAGCUACCCAGUUCCAUCGCCGGCAGUUUCUUCGCCGCAUCCCUUCAGCGCUCGCGCCUGACGCCUUCUUCACCGGUCAAAUCAGCAUCGCAGGUAAGUCCAUCAAGCUGCCUUCAGUCAGUUCCACCACCAAAUUCGUUCACGUCAGUCGUCAUUAUUCGUAUCAGACCCGUCAGAUCUGACAUCUAGCCAUCAUUUCUGCUUAGUUUCGCCCGUCGCCGCCGUCGAACACUCCACGACCGGUGGGGAAUCUAGUGGGUAAAAAGAUUCAUGAAUUUUUUUUGGUUUUCUUUGGUUAAUUUUGGUUACCUACUUGAUUUUGGUUUGGAUUUUUAAUUUACCCAUUAUGGUGGAUGCUAGAUUUGGAGGUUUGAAAGUUUUAAGAUACUGUCCAGCGGGUCGAAGGUUGUUUUGGUGUGUCAUAAGUCAUUUUUUUCGACAAACUCGAAGUUGUUUUGAAGGAUUUUAGUGAGUACAAAGGUUUUGAAACCCUUUUUUGGUUGACUGUUAUUGCUAUAAAUUGAUUAUGUGAGCUUUAAUUAUGACUUAUGCAUAGGUUGGAGUCCAUUGAUGAAGUAAUAAAGUGGAUUUGGAUUUUAGCCAAAUUUUUGGGGAUUGUGUUUCCUUCGGGAUUCACCAGGGGUUGUGUUUCCUUGGAGAUUCACCAGGGGUUGUGCUUCCUUCGGGAUUCACCAGAGGUUGUGUUUCCUUCAAGAUUCACCAGAGGUUGUGGGUUCUACGAGACUUACUAAAGGUAAAGGUAGAGAUGCACCGACGAUUGACAAGCGGAAUUCGUGAUUGAGCCACUAGGACCAGUU
Molecule: long non-coding RNA, 1154 nt
Organism: Benincasa hispida (wax gourd)
Lineage: Eukaryota; Viridiplantae; Streptophyta; Magnoliopsida; Cucurbitales; Cucurbitaceae
Source: RefSeq, a predicted model, not a curated record